UUUGAGAAGAAGCCCACUGAAGAUCAUAAAAGCACAGAAUUCUCAUGAGAUCUGAUAAAAGCUGAGGGUCUUAUUGUCAGAUCACAGGCCAUUUUAUUUUAAUGUGGUUCUGUCACUUUAAGACUCAGGUGUGUCAGUGUUGGCAGGCUGCCGUUUAAAAAGAAAAGAGAAAUUAAUCCAAAGAGGAACACUUUAUACUUCUCCUUUUAUGUUAUUCCACGCCAUCUUCUCCUUCUUCAGACUAAUAAGACAUUAAGAACAUGAAAGACUGACAUAUUGUGCAUGAAGUUCACAGACCCCUGAUGAAGGACAAAUGCUCGUGCUGUGUGAGCUCUAAACGUGGAGAGUGGAGAGAAAACAAAGUGAAAGCAGACUCACCAGUCCAGAACAAUAGAGACAGAAGAAAAGAACAAAUUCCAGUUGGUGACCACUGGGUGGGCCAGUCUGAUGCCGAUGUUCCUUGGGGGGCUACAAUAAGGCAAAGGCACUUGAUGCCACGGCCCACCUGCCAAGUUGUUUUAUC
Polypterus senegalus (gray bichir) is the source of this 523-nucleotide long non-coding RNA. RefSeq lists it as uncharacterized. The record is from RefSeq and is a predicted model, not a curated record. NCBI's taxonomy places the organism in Eukaryota, Metazoa, Chordata, Cladistia, Polypteriformes, Polypteridae. The transcript is spliced from 3 exons.